GGGAUGACACAGUAGGAUAAGCUAAGCACACUGUUGGUUAUGUGUGCCCAAGCAUUGAGGCAGUCAAAGUAGGCAAAUCCGCUUUGAUAAUGCUGGGAUGUGAUGGGGAGCGAAAUUUAGUAGCGAAGUAGCUGAUUUCACACUGUCAAGAAAAGUCUCUAUCGAGGUUAAAGGUACCCGUACCGCAAACCGACACAGGUGGGUGAGGAGAGUAUCCUAAGGCCAGCGAGAGAACUGUUGUUAAGGAACUCGGCAAAAUGACCCCGUAACUUAGGGAUAAGGGGUGCCACCAUCAGGUGGCCGCAGAGAAUAGGCCCAAGCGACUGUUUACCAAAAACAUAGGUUUCUGCUAAGUCGCAAGACGAUGUAUAGGAGCUGACGCCUGCCCGGUGCUGGAAGGUUAAGGGGAUCUGUUAGAGCAAUCGAAGCAGUGAACUUAAGCCCCAGUAAACGGCGGCCGUAACUAUAACGGUCCUAAGGUAGCGAAAUUCCUUGUCGGGUAAGUUCCGACCCGCACGAAAGGCGUAACGAUUUGGGCACUGUCUCAACAACAGACUCGGUGAAAUUGUAAUUCCGGUGAAGAUGCCGGAUACCUGCGACAGGACGGAAAGACCCCAUGGAGCUUUACUGUAGCUUGACAUUGGGUCUUGGUACUACAUGUACAGGAUAGGUGGGAGGCUUUGAAACCAGGACGCCAGUUUUGGCGGAGCCAUCCUUGGGAUACCACCCUUGUAGUACUGGGACUCUAACCAUAGGCCAUGAAUCUGGUCUUGGGACACUGUCAGGUGGGCAGUUUGACUGGGGCGGUCGCCUCCCAAAAGGUAACGGAGGCGCUCAAAGGUUCUCUCAGUACGGUCGGAAAUCGUACGUAGAGUGUAAAGGCAAAAGAGAGCUUGAUUGCAAGACAUACAGGUCGAGCAAGGAUGAAAAUCGGACUUAGUGAUCCGGUGGUUCUGCGUGGAAGGGCCAUCGCUCAACGGAUAAAAGCUACCCUGGGGAUAACAGGCUUAUCUCCCCCAAGAGUCCACAUCGACGGGGAGGUUUGGCACCUCGAUGUCGGCUCAUCACAUCCUGGGGCUGUAGUAGGUCCCAAGGGUUGGGCUGUUCGCCCAUUAAAGUGGUACGCGAGCUGGGUUCAGAACGUCGUGAGACAGUUCGGUCCCUAUCCGUCGCAGGCGUAGGAAAUUUGAGAAGACCUGUCCUUAGUACGAGAGGACCGGGAUGGACGUACCUCUGGUGUACCAGUUGUCCUGCCAAGGGCAUGGCUGGGUAGCUAUGUACGGAAUGGAUAAGCGCUGAAAGCAUCUAAGCGCGAAGCCAACUUCAAGAUAAGAUUUCCCACCGCAAGGGUAAGACCCCAGAAAGACUAUCUGGUUGAUAGGUCGAAGGUGUAAGUGCAGCAAUGUAUUUAGCUUAUCGAUACUAAUAGGUCGAGGACUUGACCAA
Molecule: ribosomal RNA, 1446 nt
Filed under: Clostridioides difficile
Lineage: Bacteria; Bacillati; Bacillota; Clostridia; Peptostreptococcales; Peptostreptococcaceae
Description: partial 23S ribosomal RNA
Rfam family: Bacterial large subunit ribosomal RNA
Source: RNAcentral